This is a non-coding RNA of Cinara cedri, 253 nucleotides long. Lineage: Eukaryota; Metazoa; Arthropoda; Insecta; Hemiptera; Aphididae. The record is from the annotation of a GenBank genome assembly.
UAAAUUCUCACAUUUACACCGUAUAUGUAACCUAUUACAUAUAUUUCUAUGUGUCUGUGAAAAUUAAAUACAAGAAUCCGAAUGUGCCUCCGCACACUGGACCGUUUCUUAUUGAGGGACAAUUUCCGAACGUGGACUUUGUAGUUCAUUAGUAUAUUAAAUCAUAUUUUCUUGUCCUAUCUAUCGAUAAAUGACUCGAAAAACACUGUUUUCAAUCAUUAGGAAUAUACAUUAUUUCAACUAUCGGACUAGG